Molecule: ribosomal RNA, 449 nt
Filed under: uncultured bacterium
Lineage: Bacteria
Description: bacterial SSU rRNA
Rfam family: Bacterial small subunit ribosomal RNA
Source: RNAcentral
GCCAGACUCCUACGGGAGGCAGCAGUGGGGAAUAUUGCACAAUGGGGGGAACCCUGAUGCAGCGACGCCGCGUGGGUGAAGGAGUAUUUCGGCAUGUAAAGCCCUAUCAGCAGGGAAGAACAAUGACGGUACCUGACUAAGAAGCACCGGCUAAAUACGUGCCAGCAGCCGCGGUAAUACGUAGGGGGCAAGCGUUAUCCGGAUUUACUGGGUGUAAAGGGAGCGUAGACGGCUAAUCAAGUCAGAAGUGAAAACCCAGGGCUCAACCUUGGGAGUGCUUUUGAAACUGAGUAGCUAGAGUGCAGGAGAGGUAAGCGGAAUUCCUAGUGUAGCGGUGAAAUGCGUAGAUAUUAGGAGGAACACCAGUGGCGAAGGCGGCUUACUGGACUGUAACUGACGUUGAGGCUCGAAAGCGUGGGGAGCAAACAGGAUUAGAUACCCCGGUAAAA